AUUGAACGCUGGCGGUAUGCUUAACACAUGCAAGUUGAACGAUGAGAAGGAGCUUGCUCUUUCGAUUAGUGGCGGACGGGUGCGUAACGCGUAGGAAUCUACCUAUUAGUGGGGGACAACUUAGGGAAACUUAAGCUAAUACCGCAUACGCCCUACGGGGGAAAGAAGGGGAUCGCAAGACCUUUUGCUAAUAGAUGAGCCUGCGUAGGAUUAGCUAGUUGGUGGGGUAAAAGCUCACCAAGGCGACGAUCCUUAACUGGUUUGAGAGAAUGAUCAGUCACACUGGAACUGAGACACGGUCCAGACUCCUACGGGAGGCAGCAGUGGGGAAUAUUGGACAAUGGGCGAAAGCCUGAUCCAGCAAUACCGCGUGUGUGAAGAAGGCCUUAGGGUUGUAAAGCACUUUCAAUUGGAAGGAAAACCUCGAAGCUAAUACCUUCGAGUUUGACAUUACCUUUAGAAGAAGCACCGGCUAACUCCGUGCCAGCCGCCGCAGUAA
This 499-nucleotide ribosomal RNA is filed under the name uncultured bacterium. RNAcentral's name for it is "partial 16S ribosomal RNA". It matches the Rfam family "Bacterial small subunit ribosomal RNA", at positions 30 to 523 of the family's 1533-position model. The record is from RNAcentral.